RNAcentral lists this ribosomal RNA (821 nucleotides) under uncultured bacterium. Its description in RNAcentral is "bacterial SSU rRNA". It matches the Rfam family "Bacterial small subunit ribosomal RNA", at positions 8 to 796 of the family's 1533-position model. The record is from RNAcentral.
AGAGUUUGAUCAUGGCUCAGAACGAACGCUGGCGGCGUGGAUAAGACAUGCAAGUCGAGCGCUGAUUACAGGGUAGCAAUAUUCUGUAGUCGGAGCGGCGCAAGGGUGCGUAACACGUGGGCAAUCUGCCGUGAAGUCGGGGACAACUUGCUGAAAGGCGAGCUAAUACCGGAUGUAAAAAUCGGAAGGCAUCUUCUGAUUUUCAAAGCUGGGGACCGUAAGGCCUGGCGCUUCAUGAUGAGCCCGCGGCCUAUCAGCUAGUUGGUGAGGUAACGGCUCACCAAGGCUAAGACGGGUAGCUGGUCUGAGAGGACGACCAGCCACACUGGAACUGAGACACGGUCCAGACACCUACGGGUGGCAGCAGUCGAGAAUUUUUCACAAUGGGCGAAAGCCUGAUGGAGCGACGCCGCGUGGGGGAUGAAUGGCUUCGGCCCGUAAACCCCUGUCAUUUGCGAUCAAACCUCUUCAUUUAAAAGAUGAUGAGCUGAUAGUAGCGAAAGAGGAAGGGACGGCUAACUCUGUGCCAGCAGCCGCGGUAAUACAGAGGUCCCAAGCGUUGUUCGGAUUCACUGGGCGUAAAGGGUGCGUAGGUGGCGAGGUAAGUCGGAUGUGAAAGCUCGGAGCUCAACUCCGAAAUGGCAUUGGAAACUACCUUGCUCGAGGGUUGGAGGGGGGACUGGAAUUUCUCGGUGUAGCAAGUGAAAAUGCGUAGAUAUCGAGAGGAACACCAAGUGGCGAAGGCGAGUCCCUGGACAAACUCCUGACACUGAGGCACGAAAGCUAGGGGAGCAAACAAGGAUUAGAUACCCCCGUAGUCC